This 124-nucleotide ribosomal RNA is filed under the name Anoplocephala magna. Its description in RNAcentral is "partial 5.8S ribosomal RNA". Lineage: Eukaryota; Metazoa; Platyhelminthes; Cestoda; Cyclophyllidea; Anoplocephalidae. The record is from RNAcentral.
GUCUUUGACAUCGACAUCCUUGAACGCAUAUUGGCGGCUAUAGGCUUGCCUAUAGCCACGUCUGUCUGAGCGUCGGCUUAUAAACUAUCACUGCGCGUAGUAAGCAGUGGCUUGGGAGAGUGUC